Molecule: ribosomal RNA, 116 nt
Filed under: Acidobacteriota bacterium
Lineage: Bacteria; Pseudomonadati; Acidobacteriota
Also listed under: 1 other name
Source: RNAcentral
CGUCGUGGCUAUACCCCGGAGGUCACACCCGUUCCCAUCCCGAACACGGCCGUUAAGCUCCGGAGGGCCGAUGAUACUCCCUCGCACAGAGGCGGAAAAGUAGGUCGCUGCGACGU